AAUCGUACCCCAAACCGACACAGGUGGUCAGGUAGAGAAUACCAAGGCGCUUGAGAGAACUCGGGUGAAGGAACUAGGCAAAAUGGUGCCGUAACUUCGGGAGAAGGCACGCUGGUGUGUAGGUGAAGUCCCUGCGGAUGGAGCUGAGACCAGUCGAAGAUACCAGCUGGCUGCAACUGUUUAUUAAAAACACAGCACUGUGCAAACACGAAAGUGGACGUAUACGGUGUGACGCCUGCCCGGUGCCGGAAGGUUAAUUGAUGGGGUUAUCCGUAAGGAGAAGCUCUUGAUCGAAGCCCCGGUAAACGGCGGCCGUAACUAUAACGGUCCUAAGGUAGCGAAAUUCCUUGUCGGGUAAGUUCCGACCUGCACGAAUGGCGUAAUGAUGGCCAGGCUGUCUCCACCCGAGACUCAGUGAAAUUGAACUCGCUGUGAAGAUGCAGUGUACCCGCGGCAAGACGGAAAGACCCCGUGAACCUUUACUAUAGCUUGACACUGAACAUUGAGCCUUGAUGUGUAGGAUAGGUGGGAGGCUUUGAAGCGUGGACGCCAGUCUGCGUGGAGCCAACCUUGAAAUACCACCCUUUAAUGUUUGAUGUUCUAACGUUGGCCCCUGACCGGGGUUGCGGACAGUGUCUGGUGGGUAGUUUGACUGGGGCGGUCUCCUCCCAAAGCGUAACGGAGGAGCACGAAGGUUAGCUAAUCCUGGUCGGACAUCAGGAGGUUAGUGCAAUGGCAUAAGCUAGCUUGACUGCGAGCGUGACGGCGCGAGCAGGUGCGAAAGCAGGUCAUAGUGAUCCGGUGGUUCUGAAUGGAAGGGCCAUCGCUCAACGGAUAAAAGGUACUCCGGGGAUAACAGGCUGAUACCGCCCAAGAGUUCAUAUCGACGGCGGUGUUUGGCACCUCGAUGUCGGCUCAUCACAUCCUGGGGCUGAAGUAGGUCCCAAGGGUAUGGCUGUUCGCCAUUUAAAGUGGUACGCGAGCUGGGUUUAGAACGUCGUGAGACAGUUCGGUCCCUAUCUGCCGUGGGCGCUGGAGAAUUGAGGGGGGCUGCUCCUAGUACGAGAGGACCGGAGUGGACGCAUCACUGGUGUUCGGGUUGUCAUGCCAAUGGCACUGCCCGGUAGCUAAAUGCGGAAGAGAUAAGUGCUGAAAGCAUCUAAGCACGAAACUUGCCCCGAGAUGAGUUCUCCCUGAGACUUUAAGUCUCCUGAAGGAACGUUGAAGACGACGACGUUGAUAGGCCGGGUGUGUAAGCGCAGCGAUGCGUUGAGCUAACCGGUACUAAUGAACCGUGAGGCUUAACCUU
This 1309-nucleotide ribosomal RNA is filed under the name Klebsiella pneumoniae. RNAcentral describes it as "partial 23S ribosomal RNA". It matches the Rfam family "Bacterial large subunit ribosomal RNA", at positions 1640 to 2925 of the family's 2925-position model. The record is from RNAcentral. Lineage: Bacteria; Pseudomonadati; Pseudomonadota; Gammaproteobacteria; Enterobacterales; Enterobacteriaceae.